CCUACGGGAGGCAGCAGUGAGGAAUAUUGGUCAAUGGACGAGAGUCUGAACCAGCCAAGUAGCGUGAAGGAUGACUGCCCUAUGGGUUGUAAACUUCUUUUAUAAAGGAAUAAAACGAGGCACGUGUGCCUUUUUGCAUGUACUUUAUGAAUAAGGAUCGGCUAACUCCGUGCCAGCAGCCGCGGUAAUACGGAGGAUCCGGGCGUUAUCCGGAUUUAUUGGGGUUAAAGGGAGCGUAGAUGGGUUGUUAAGUCAGUUGUGAAAGUUUGCGGCUCAACCGUAAAAUUGCAAUUGAUAAUGGCAGUCUCGAGUACAGUUGAGGGAGGCGGAAUUCGUGGUGUAGCGGUGAAAUGCUUAGAUAUCACGAAGAACCCCGAUUGCGAAGGCAGCUUACUAAACUGUGACUGACAUUGAUGCUCGAAAGUGUGGGUAUCAAACAGGAUUAGAUACCCUAGUAGUC
This 460-nucleotide ribosomal RNA is filed under the name uncultured bacterium. RNAcentral describes it as "partial 16S ribosomal RNA". It matches the Rfam family "Bacterial small subunit ribosomal RNA", at positions 338 to 795 of the family's 1533-position model. The record is from RNAcentral.